This 468-nucleotide ribosomal RNA is filed under the name uncultured bacterium. RNAcentral describes it as "partial 16S ribosomal RNA". It matches the Rfam family "Bacterial small subunit ribosomal RNA", at positions 28 to 507 of the family's 1533-position model. The record is from RNAcentral.
GACGAACGCUGGCGGCGUGCUUAACACAUGCCAGUCGAACGGAAAGGCCCUGCUUUUGUGGGGUGCUCGAGUGGCGAACGGGUGAGUAACACGUGAGUAACCUGCCCUUGACUUUGGGAUAACUUCAGGAAACUGGGGCUAAUACCGGAUAGGAGCUCCUGCUGCAUGGUGGGGGUUGGAAAGUUUCGGCGGUUGGGGAUGGACUCGCGGCUUAUCAGCUUGUUGGUGGGGUAGUGGCUUACCAAGGCUUUGACGGGUAGCCGGCCAGGGAGGGUGACCGGCUAAAUGGGGAAUGAGAUACGGCAGGGAGUGGGAGGGGCGGGAGAAGUGGGGAAUAAGGCAAAAUGGGAGGAGGCGUGAGGCAGUAACGCCGCGGGCGGGAGGAGGGAAUUGGGGGUGGAAACAGCAUUAGCGGGGGACGAAGCGGGAGUGACGGUAAUGGGUAAAGAAGAACCGGCUAACGACGUG